UGCUGCGGUGAAUACGUUCCCGGGCCUUGUACACACCGCCCGUCACACCAUGGGAGUUUGUUGCACCAGAAGCAGGUAGCUUAACCUUCGGGAGGGCGCUUGCCACGGUGUGGCCGAUGACUGGGGUGAAGUCGUAACAAGGUAGCCGUAUCGGAAGGUGCGGCUGGAUCACCUCCUUU
Molecule: ribosomal RNA, 179 nt
Filed under: Stenotrophomonas maltophilia
Lineage: Bacteria; Pseudomonadati; Pseudomonadota; Gammaproteobacteria; Lysobacterales; Lysobacteraceae
Description: partial 16S ribosomal RNA
Rfam family: Bacterial small subunit ribosomal RNA
Source: RNAcentral